RNAcentral lists this ribosomal RNA (254 nucleotides) under uncultured bacterium. RNAcentral's name for it is "partial small subunit ribosomal RNA". It matches the Rfam family "Bacterial small subunit ribosomal RNA", at positions 26 to 285 of the family's 1533-position model. The record is from RNAcentral.
AGGACGAACGCUGGCGGCGUGCUUAACACAUGCAAGUCGAGCGGAAAGGCCCUUCGGGGUACUCGAGCGGCGAACGGGUGAGUAGCACGUGAGCAAUCUGCCCUUAGCUUCGGGAUAGCUCCGGGAAACCGGAAUUAAUACCGAAUAUGACUACGGUUGACAUCAGCCAUGGUGGAAAGUUUUUCGGCUAGGGAUGAGCUCGCGGCCUAUCAGCUAGUUGGUGGGGUAACGGCCUACCAAGGCGACGACGGGUA